GUCCUCGCGCGUGUGUCUGCCGUCGCCUCCUCCUCGCGGAGCGGAGGGGCUCCCACUUGUGAAACGGCCAGCACGCGCGAGGCGCCCCGCCGCAGCCGGACCCGGACGGGCUGCUGUGCAUGUGCUGUCCUCCCCUUUUUCUAAAUUUUUUUUAAAAAUUUAUUUAUUUCCAGUUUAUUCUGGGCCUGUGUGGAAUAGAAAGACAGUUCUCUGCCUGACUGGAGGAGAGAAAAGAGAAGACUCCUCGGGGUUUCCAAGGAGCAAUGGAGCGGCUGCUUCAGAUGUAAAAGAUAGAGGGAACCACAGAAAAAAAUCAUUUCAUCUGUUUCGCAUUGUAAAGAGGAAAUGGAGGACUUCAACUGUGAAAAAACACAAAGCUAAGAAUCAUCCUUCCAUUUUUACACUGAGGUUUUCAUAUACCAAUUUGGUUGUAUUUGGCAAGAAAAUACAGACAGUGCUUUCAACACCUGUGAGUGCAUUGUCAAUAACUCCACUGAUGGUGUGGCACACAAUGUACUUCUCUAAAGAAAUCUAAUUAUAGAAAAUGGAAAUAAUUGAGCUGAAUAAAGUAAAGUUGAGGUUGGCAUGAAACCACUGUGUAUUUAACAUUCUUUCUUGUGAAACUCCUCUCCGCAACUCUGUGAAGGUGUAGAAAGGUAUAAGGUUCACAUUUCUUUCCAUCCUGCACCAUAGGUCAAGCCAUUUUAUUGUAGAUGAAAAUAAUUAUGUAUUCAUAGUAAAGCUGUAGGCAGUUUUUCACUGCAGAUUACAGAGAGAUAUUUCUCUAAUACCCCAAAAUAGAAAGGUUAGAAACAUUUUUAACUAUUUAAAUUCUGUAUAACUUAUUUUUAUGGAGAGGUUUUUACUGUACUGUAUUUUGAAAAGUACAUCUGACAUACAUAGCUUCAAGUAAAUCUCUCAUGUAAGUAUGCACCUUCCCAUGGAAUAUUUAAAUUUAUAGUUUUAUGUCCAUGCUGUAAUCUUUUCUUUUUUCAGAAUUAAAUUUCUGGCUUUCUUUGCAAACCAAGUUACAUCACUGAGUUGGAUUCAUUUACAUAUGACUUUUCAUGGAUUUUUUAAAUCUGUGAAAUAUGUUAUUUUUGUUAGCUCAGGUGUUAAAAAUAUCAAAAAUGGAAAAAAAUCAGCUGUUAUCCUGAAAAGUCUCUGAUUUUUUUUCAUUUUUUUGAUGUUUUAAUAUCAAACCUUUACUCUUUCACAAUAUAUAUUGUAUCUUGCAGAUUUUAUUUAUUGGUUUAUUGAAAGGAACAGUUAAUGCUUAAAUUUUUUGACCAAUUUGGCAUUGCUUAUAUCUGGUGAUCUGAACAACUAAUUUGAAGACAACAAUAUGCAAUAUAACAACCAUUGUUGAAUUCCUACCAUCUUGUUUAGUGAAGCUCUGUAUUGUUUCUAAUGCUUUUUUAUUACUUUUUAUUCUCUUUAAUUGUUUGAUCAAUCUUACAUUUUUGCAUCAGGUAAUCUGAGCAACUUCAUUGAAAAUAAUGAUGUAUAAUAUAGCCACCAUUGAAUUCCUAUAUCCUUGUUUUGUAAUUCUGUAUAAUUUUAUUGAUUUUGUGUGCUAUUGUUUUUGUCAUUGUUAUUUUUUUUCCUCUUUAAAAUAAAAAAGGAAAAAACCCAAAAAUUAAAAAAAAGCAAAUUUUACCUUGUUGUGAUUGUGGAGUACAUGUUCUUCAGAUUGUACUCAUAGAGUUUAAAGAUAUUUUAAAUAUCUGUGUGUUUCUUCAAAGAGUAAAAAACAGAGAAAACAUUUCAUAUUUUCAGGUUUAGUGUAUAUAUCACAUUGUUAGAUAACAUGGUAUGAUGUAAGAUUUUUUUUUCACCACAUUUCCAGCUGUUAAAUUCUUUGAGUUUGAGGUAUUUGUUUUCUAACAUCCCUCUAGAAAAAUGUACAUAUUUUUCCUGAGUUGGUUAAUAUGUUUCUCUUUUGAUAUUUAAAGUUGAAUUAUUAGUCAUAUAAAUGAACCACCUCCUAGCCAGUUAAAUUUAAGUGACAGCAGAAUGUGUAAGAGUCAGAGAGUAUAUGGUAUUAUCUAAAAACGGAUUCCUUCAGUGGAGAAAUUGUAGUGAACAAGAUAAGGACAAAAGGUGUUAACAAAAUGAUUAUUAAUUUACUAUUUUUAGAAUAUGGUCAAAUUUUAAAUGUAUAAUUGUUUUACUGAUUUUGUCCUCCUAUUCAUUUCUUUUUAAAAUUUAUUUUAAAAAUAGAAGGAAAACAUUAACAAACAGACAUCCAUUUACAAAAUAGCAUAAGGGCAAUACAAGCAAUACAGAGUUACAAAGUGGUAGGAAAUUAACAAUGGUUGUUUUGUUGUUUUUUUUUUUUUUGGUUUUUUUUUCUCCGGUACCGGGAACUGAACUCACGACCUUGCGCUUGCCAGGCAGGCGCUUUUGCCGCUGAGCUAAAUCCC
RNAcentral lists this long non-coding RNA (2426 nucleotides) under Chinchilla lanigera (long-tailed chinchilla). Its description in RNAcentral is "lncRNA (ENSCLAG00000025479.1)". The record is from RNAcentral. Lineage: Eukaryota; Metazoa; Chordata; Mammalia; Rodentia; Chinchillidae.